Molecule: small nuclear RNA, 156 nt
Organism: Diachasmimorpha longicaudata
Lineage: Eukaryota; Metazoa; Arthropoda; Insecta; Hymenoptera; Braconidae
Product: U1 spliceosomal RNA
Exons: 1
Source: RefSeq, a predicted model, not a curated record
GAACUUACCUGACGCGAAGGACUACCGUGAUCAGGAAGGCGGUUCCUUCGAGGCGAGACUCCUCCAUUGCACAUAGGAUGAGUUAGUCCUCGCGAGUGAUCAAUUACUCGAGCGUAUAAUUUUUUGAUUGGGGAAGUGCGUUCGCGCAAUCCCGAU